GAAUAUUGCGCAAUGGAGGAAACUCUGACGCAGUAACGCCGCGUGCGGGAAGAAGACCUUCGGGUUGUAAACCGCUUUUUGAGGGGACGAGCGAGGACGGUACCUUCAGAAUAAGUCUCGGCUAACUACGUGCCAGCAGCCGCGGUAAGACGUAGGAGGCGAGCGUUAUCCGGAUUCACUGGGCGUAAAGCGCAUGUAGGCGGCUGUGCAAGUCGUGUGUUAAAGCCCCUGGCUCAACUGGGGGAGGUCAUGCGAUACUGUGCGGCUGGAGGGCAGUAGAGGCACAUGGAACUCCCGGUGUAGCGGUGGAAUGCGUAGAGAUCGGGAAGAACACCCGUGGCGAAGGCGGUGUGCUGGGCUGCACCUGACGCUGAGAUGCGAAAGUGUGGGGAGCAAACGGG
RNAcentral lists this ribosomal RNA (401 nucleotides) under uncultured bacterium. Its description in RNAcentral is "bacterial SSU rRNA". It matches the Rfam family "Bacterial small subunit ribosomal RNA", at positions 359 to 776 of the family's 1533-position model. The record is from RNAcentral.